CUCGCUAGUUUUUGUGCGUUUCUCCCUGGCUUGGGCACGGACCGGCUGUGAACGAGUCCCGUAGGCAGGAUCGGAACUCCUCGGAGGUCUACCUCGUAGGAAAUUGUUGGAAGGAACAUGAGAAAAUCCUCAGAGGACAGGGAAAGAGAAGAGGAGCCAGGUGUUCUCCACUGUCUGUGAUGGGUGCCAGGCCGGCGCGGCAGUAUACCAGCCCAAGCCAUCGCCUACAGCACUGGCAUCCCAUACGGGUGUCAGUUCCAACAGACCCAGCUCUCUGCUGUGGCCUGGGAAAGCAGUGGAAGAUGAUCCAAGUGCUUGGACCCCUGAACCCACACGGAAGACCUGGAUGAAGCUCCCGGCUUUAGCAUGGCCCAACCCUGGCUGUUGUAGCCAUUUGGGAAGUGA
Lepus europaeus (European hare) is the source of this 405-nucleotide long non-coding RNA. RefSeq lists it as uncharacterized. Lineage: Eukaryota; Metazoa; Chordata; Mammalia; Lagomorpha; Leporidae. The transcript is spliced from 4 exons. The record is from RefSeq and is a predicted model, not a curated record.